AUCUCUAUCUUCAAAAUGAAGAAUAUUAACAAGACUGUGGCAUAUGGCUUAACAAACACAAGUUUAAAAACGCUGGUUUCAUCUUUUUCUAAAGGACAACAGAUGCAGGAGUUAAGCUCAGUAGCUCCUGGUGGUGCUUUCAAAAGUAUUUCAGAACAAAAGAAGAAAACUGUAGUUUGCAGAAAGGAAAAACCCUCAACAAAUAAACUCAAGAGGAGCCACAAACAGAAAAAGAUUAAAGUCACCCCCAAAUGGUACAGAGGGAGGCACAUCCAUGGAUAUUCCCAGUUGAAAGUGAACCGGCUGAGCAAGAGGCCCUGUUUUCCCAACAGAGCACUGGAUGCUUUGAGAAAGGGCUGUUCAUCACAGCCCCCCAAAUUCAAUAAGCAUAAGAAGUGCCAUUCUCCUCAACUGAAGGUGCAAGAGAGUUACCUACACCAGCAAAAUUCCACCUCAGAUAAACCACUUUGCAGAAGGAAAAAAGAAGGAAAGAAUAACUCAGGAAUAUCUUCCCAUACUGAAAACCUAAACCAUGUUAAACAAAGAGACAAAACGGAUAAAAAAGUAGGUAUUGUACCUUAAUUCCUAUAUUAAUAUCUAUUAAAAUAAAAAAAAAAAAG
This 620-nucleotide long non-coding RNA is filed under the name Lepidothrix coronata (blue-crowned manakin). RNAcentral's name for it is "lncRNA (ENSLCOG00000007510.1)". Lineage: Eukaryota; Metazoa; Chordata; Aves; Passeriformes; Pipridae. The record is from RNAcentral.